AAUAAUUUUUGUUUUAUAGUAUAAAGAAUUUAAAACGAAAAAAUUAGAUCCAGACUACAGGUUGAAGAGAAGAAGAUUAUUAACAUCAACCACAGCAUCUUCAAGCAGACUGACUAAUUUAAAACGAAUAAAUUAUAAAGAAGAUUCAGAUGUAGAAAUUUUAAAUGUGUUUAAAUCAAGUACAAAAAAUCUUGAUAAUGAUAUAGAUUCAGUUACAGAGGAUUCUUCAAAGAAAGUUAAAAAAAAUGGAAAUUUAAGUAAUAAAAGUGAUAAAAGUAAUGGUUUACCAGAGUGUGCAGCUAAUUAUGAUAAUUCUUUUCAAGUAAAUUCUCAAUCUUCAAAAUGUGAAAAGUAUAAAGAAUUUAAAACGAAAAAAUUAGAUCCAGACUACAGGUUGAAGAGAAGAAGAUUAUUAACAUCAACCACAGCAUCUUCAAGCAGACUGACUAAUUUAAAACGAAUAAAUUAUAAAGAAGAUUCAGAUGUAGAAAUUUUAAAUGUGUUUAAAUCAAGUACAAAAAAUCUUGAUAAUGAUAUAGAUUCAGUUACAGAGGAUUCUUCAAAGAAAGUUAAAAAAAAUGGAAAUUUAAGUAAUAAAAGUGAUAAAAGUAAUGGUUUACCAGAGUGUGCAGCUAAUUAUGAUAAUUCUUUUCAAGUAAAUUCUCAAUCUUCAAAAUGUGAAAAGGAAAAUAAUUCCAAGAUCAAAAAUAGAGAAAGAAAAAGUAUUAAAUCAACAAAAUCCAAAAAG
Molecule: unclassified non-coding RNA, 748 nt
Filed under: Centruroides sculpturatus (bark scorpion)
Lineage: Eukaryota; Metazoa; Arthropoda; Arachnida; Scorpiones; Buthidae
Description: uncharacterized LOC111635047, transcript variant X1
Source: RNAcentral